This 497-nucleotide ribosomal RNA is filed under the name uncultured bacterium. RNAcentral's name for it is "partial 16S ribosomal RNA". It matches the Rfam family "Bacterial small subunit ribosomal RNA", at positions 28 to 507 of the family's 1533-position model. The record is from RNAcentral.
GAUGAACGCUGGCGGCAUGCCUAACACAUGCAAGUCGAGCGAACGGACGAGUAGUUUCCCUCUCUGAUGUUUGCGGCGCACGGGUGUGUUACACGUGGAUAACCCCCCUAUUAGACUGGAACCACUUCGGGAAACCAGAGCUACCACCGACUAUUAUCUUGAACCGCCUGGUUCAAAAGUGAAAUACGGCCUUGCUGUCACUCAUUGACGGAUCCGCGCUGCAUUAGCUAGUUGGGAAGGUAACGGCUUACCAAGGCAACGAUGCAUAGCCGACCUGAGAGGGUGAUCGGCCACACUGGAACUGAGACACGGUCCAGACUCCUACGGGAGGCAGCAGUAGGGAAUCUUCCGCAAUGGGCGAAAGCCUGACGGAGCAACGCCGCGUGAGUGAUGAAGGUCUUCGGAUCGUAAAACUCUGUUAUUAGGGAAGAACAUAUGUGUAAGUAACUGUGCACAUCUUGACGGUACCUAAUCAGAAAGCCACGGCUAACUACGUG